This 775-nucleotide long non-coding RNA is filed under the name Zonotrichia albicollis (white-throated sparrow). RNAcentral describes it as "lncRNA (ENSZALG00000010162.1)". The record is from RNAcentral. Lineage: Eukaryota; Metazoa; Chordata; Aves; Passeriformes; Passerellidae.
AAAAUAUUUUACAUGCUUUUAAUUAAGUUAAAAGGCCAAAAUUCUAAGACUACAUCUAAGAUCAGUUGAUAAAGGUCAAAAAUGUGUAACAUCAAGGUACAUGCACACAUAUAAGACAAAAGUUUCUUCUACUGCAGUAAAAUGCCUGGAAGUGGUGCCUCUGACACAUCUACACUCUGCAAAGAGAAGAGAGCAGUUAGAAGAAGCCUUCUCCUCAUCAGGAUGUCCAUAUGGUUCCAAGUAGGAAGGAUUUCCACAUACAGCUCCAGAGAAACUCCCUCAGCAUUCAUCACUACUGGAUUUGGGAAUGUAAACCUCUUUUAAUGUAUUAUCCUAACUCUUCUGUUAAAGCAGUUCCACUGUGGACUGGAAGAGAAGAACAGGCUUUUGCAGGUGAAAAGGAGCCCAUCCUAGUUAAAUCUUGAGCAGAGUGGAAGUGGUGUGGAUGCACUGCCACACAGCCAAGCCUGAACAGACUCAUUGUCCUGUCAGCAGGAUUCAGCACUACCCUGAACCAGGUGCCAUGGUAACUGCAUGGUGUAAGCACCUGCCUGGAUUCAGCAAGCAUUUUGUACAACAGCCCAGGGACUCAGUUACUGCAGAUUUGAAUAUAAAGCUCACAUUUAUCUUCUCAUAAAUUUAUUUGUGUUGUUAAUAUUUUAUCUGCUGAUGGUAAUUACCUUCACCAGUAUAGUCAGUGACCUAAGGUUCAUGGGUAUUGAUUUCAAUGUUUUCCCACACCACUGAUUUUUCAAGUGGUCUUGGUCAAUUCUCC